AAACCGCCCAGAGGUAAACGGGUGGAUCCGCAAAGUCGGCCCGCGGAAUUCAGCGCGGCGCGCAGCCCCGGGCUGUCGCGGUUCGGGAUCCCUGGGACCCGGCCGCGGCGCCGCGCAGGGCUCCGCCGCGUGCACUUUCCGCGGGCAGAGAGCCACAACCGGUUCGGGGAAUGAGGGCGGCGACGAGCUGCCAGGGUUGCAGGUGGGGGCGCUCGCGUCCCUACCAGCCCUGGCUGACGAGCCGCCCCCGGACCGAGGGACCGCCGCGCGCUUCGAGGCCACCCUCCCCUCCCGGCGAGUACGACUGGGAGAGACUGGGCAACCGUGUCUCCCGACCGCUCGCCGGCGAUCGGCGUGGGGCUGGCCGGGCGCGCAACACUGUCAGGGUUGGUGGCAAAUCUGUCGGCAUUCCACCCGACCCGUCUUGAA
Molecule: ribosomal RNA, 429 nt
Filed under: Caracolus sarcocheila
Lineage: Eukaryota; Metazoa; Mollusca; Gastropoda; Stylommatophora; Solaropsidae
Description: partial 28S ribosomal RNA
Source: RNAcentral